Molecule: unclassified non-coding RNA, 334 nt
Filed under: soil metagenome
Description: partial contains 5.8S ribosomal RNA, internal transcribed spacer 2, and large subunit ribosomal RNA
Rfam family: 5.8S ribosomal RNA (bases 1-120)
Source: RNAcentral
GAUGAAGAACGUAGCGAAAUGCGAUAAGUAAUGUGAAUUGCAGAAUUCAGUGAAUCAUCGAAUCUUUGAACGCACAUUGCGCCCGCCAGUAUUCUGGCGGACAUGCCUGUUCGAGCGUCAUUUCAACCAUCAAGCCCCAGGCUUGUGUUGGAGCCCUGCGGCUGCCGCAGCCUCCCAAAACCAGUGGCGGGCUCGCUAUCACACCGAGUGCAGUAGUUUACUCUUCGCUCAGGGCGUGUGGCGGGUGCUAGCCGUAAAACCCCCAACUUCUCAAGGUUGACCUCGGAUCAGGUAGGAAUACCCGCUGAACUUAAGCAUAUCAAUAAGCGGAGGA